GGAAGAAGUGCUUCAAAUUGAAAAAUUUAAACCGCGACGCGGUGAAUCUGGUGGACUCAUAUAGGCCCGGGCCGUCAGCGGACAGGCACAUUUCGGAAUUGCUGGAACGGAUGAGAACCAACGACGACGAUGACGAAAGCGAGGAUAGUGAUUCAGAUAUGCGUUGGAAACGUGGAAACAAUGGCGCACAAAACUCAAAUCCGGAUCAGUAAGACCAACACAACCUGGCAAAGGCCGAACGUUUUGGUUCGAAGGGAGGAUGGAGAUGGACAGGAUAGCGUAUUGAGGAUCCCCGAUGUUGAGCCGCUGGAUGAAGAGCAUGAACCCGAGGCUCCAAGGGGAGGCAGAAAACGUAGGCGCCCAGUUUCCUCGUGUGAUCCAGUUGAGCUUCGUAGGUCAAAGCGCUCUCGGAAAUCGAACCGUAAAGACGAUUAUCAUUAUAUUUGAAUUUUCGGAGUUAUAAGUUAAGUUUAAAUUGAAUUCAGAUUUUUAGCUAGUUGUUUUAUAUAAAGCUUUCGGAUAGUCAAGUUCAGAAUUGAUUUGGAAAUGUUUUUAACUAGUUGUUACUUGGUUAAAUUUAAAACGAGUGUUAUAAAGAAACCUCCGAAAGGGGGAAGGAUUGAUAUAUACCUGCGCAUUCCAUGCGUUCGAUGUAAACCGACAUUCGAGUCGGUAGAUUUCGGGUAGAUAGCCGAUGCUCUGAUCGGUUGGGCCAAAGGGCUCGAAAGAGCAAACUAAUAAAGGAGACAUCAGUCUAAUCUGAACCAUCAACCUGACCAGUUCGCUUAGCGCAUCUAACCAACCGCAAAUCACAUUACCCCGUUUCGAGUUCCUAUAACGUGUCGUUGAGUUCCACCGGGUCGGUCUGUUUCGUUUAAGAAA
Molecule: long non-coding RNA, 882 nt
Organism: Aedes albopictus (Asian tiger mosquito)
Lineage: Eukaryota; Metazoa; Arthropoda; Insecta; Diptera; Culicidae
Exons: 2
Source: RefSeq, a predicted model, not a curated record